Molecule: non-coding RNA, 206 nt
Organism: Caenorhabditis elegans
Lineage: Eukaryota; Metazoa; Nematoda; Chromadorea; Rhabditida; Rhabditidae
Source: Ensembl
CUCCUGACAUGAUUUAAUGUGCCAUUUUGCAUUUAACGAGGUGGUGUUCGAAGAAACCCAGAAAUUAUUGGAAAAAUAGUGAAGAAAGACUACCCCAGAAAUCAUAAAAAACAUUAAAAAACGAGAAGUGGUAGAGCAUCUCUUCCUCCGAUUAUUGGCACCUCUUGGUUCCCCCUCUCUUCUUUUCCGUGUCUAAAGCUGUAGCU